AAUAGAUACCCCGGUAGUCCAUGCCGUAAACGUUGGGAACUAGAUGUGGGGACCAUUCCACGGUCUCCGUGUCGCAGCUAACGCAUUAAGUUCCCCGCCUGGGGAGUACGGCCGCAAGGCUAAAACUCAAAGGAAUUGACGGGGGCCCGCACAAGCGGCGGAGCAUGCGGAUUAAUUCGAUGCAACGCGAAGAACCUUACCAAGGCUUGACAUAUACCGGAAACGUCUGGAAACAGUCGCCCCGCAAGGUCGGUAUACAGGUGGUGUAUGGUUGUCGUCAGCUCGUGUCGUGAGAUGUUGGGUUAAGUCCCGCAACGAGCGCAACCCUCGUCCUAUGUUGCCAGCACGUGAUGGUGGGGACUCAUAGGAGACUGCCGGGGUCAACUCGGAGGAAGGUGGGGAUGAGGUCAAAUCAUCAUGCCCCUUAUGUCUUGGGCUUCACGCAUGCUACAAUGGCCGGUACAAAGGGCAGCAAUACCGUGAGGUGGAGCGAAUCCCAAAAAGCCGGUCUCAGUUCGGAUUGAGGUCUGCAACUCGACCCC
RNAcentral lists this ribosomal RNA (542 nucleotides) under uncultured bacterium. RNAcentral describes it as "bacterial SSU rRNA". It matches the Rfam family "Bacterial small subunit ribosomal RNA", at positions 777 to 1319 of the family's 1533-position model. The record is from RNAcentral.